Molecule: ribosomal RNA, 4358 nt
Filed under: Triticum aestivum (bread wheat)
Lineage: Eukaryota; Viridiplantae; Streptophyta; Magnoliopsida; Poales; Poaceae
Description: partial small subunit ribosomal RNA
Source: RNAcentral
UUAAAUUAAAGUUAGUUUCCAUGUGUCAGCUCACAUGAUGUGGUUGGUUACUUGGUGCGUGGGACCGGACAUACUACCGCGCUAAGUAGUCACCUCUUCGAACACAACCUGAUGUCUUUUUCGGAGAGGAAAAGAGUAAGUGCUUUAGAGGUAGUAAGUUUUAGGCCCCGUUUGGGUCGGCCUAAAUUAGUAGGACUAGGGGAGGAGCAGGAGGGAGCGCCGCGCCCUCGACGGAUGCUCAGUUUGACUCUGGUGCUGCUGCUUGGCGACGCGGGGCUGCUGGCCGGUGCCGCGCGCGGCGGCGGCCCCGCGGGUGCGGUGGUACCCGCGGUGCGGGAAGCUGAAGCUAAAGCUGGUGUUCUCCACUCAGCCACGGCGGUCGUCGUCGUUUAGUUGGUUCGUUGUCUCGGUACGUGGCAGGUGGUUGGUCUCCCUUGGCUACCGCGGGCGGGCGGGCGAGGCGGCUGUAGCAGCACGGCGCGCGGUGCACGAGGCCUCGAGGGCGGAGGUGCGUUUUGCUCAAAAAAAACGGGGAAGGUAAGGGUGCUAUACGCGACUUAGGUAGAAGAAGAUAAGGGGAGAGACAGACGGAGCGCAGGCCCGUAGCCCCCCGCACCUCCCCACGUUAAUUGCCCGCCCGAGCGCGCGCCGAGGGGAGGGUAGAGUGGCGCUAGGGAAGCGGCAAGCACUAAGAAGCGGGGGGUGGGGCGGGUGCUGGGGGAGUUAAAGUAAAAAAAGGAGCGUAAAGAAGGGUACACGCGCCUAGAGCCCCGCGCCGGCCGGAUCCCAAAUACCGAAACCAGUUAGGUACCGCACGCGACGGGUCCAGCGGGACAGCGAAGAAGAAAUUACGCGCAACUAGGGGUACCUGCGGCUCAGGGCCAUUUCGGGUAUUUACGGUCGGGAGUAAAGGUAAAGAAACGGAGAAGGGAGAGGAGCAGCAGAAAAGAUCUAAACCAGGCCCAGUCCUAACCACAACCCCCAUUACGCCACCGGCCUCAACAGCAGAGACCCGUAACACCGACUACAACAACUCCAAACCGCGUCCCUGCAAAUACCGAAGCGCCACGCCGGCGUCGUAGACGUCGCAAAGGCGCUCAUACGGUUCUAAAUGUUCCUUCUCCUUCUACUCUCUUGUGUAUCUACCUUCCUGAAGAACCUGUCUAACCGACUAAGACGCCUAAACGGGUCGUGUGGGUCGUAAGUACGGCGACGACGCCCCCUACGACUUUCACGUCUUUUCUCGCAGUUUCUUCUCGUGGUACUUCGGCUUUUGUGUCUAUGGCUGUUUUUAAACCUUAUAAACUUCCUUCGACCGCCGUUGCUCCUUGAGUCUCUUCAUUUACCGCUCGGUCCUCUAUAAUUCCCACAGUGAUCGUUGAACCUUUUUGGUUUUCUCCUGUCGUCAUCGUCUCCCCGUCUAACACUACUUCUGCUUCCACUUCGUCUUCUCUCCUUGUAGUUUUAUCUUGCGCAUCUAGUUCAACUACUGUUACUACUUAGGUAUCUUCGUUUUCCGUUCGGUCUCCUAAAGUUGCUACAACGACCGUUGAGUCUUUUUGACUUUCUCCUCCGGUCACGUCUGACACAUUGUGGCUUGUUUCGGAGCCUUCUUAAGUUCCUUUAUUUACUCCCGAGACUUCUUUAUUUUCAAUAUUUACCCCCGAGCCUUCCUAAAUUUCUAGUUUUACCACCCAGUUUCCUUGACCCUCUUCACUUAUUACUGUUGAAGUUUUCCAAACUCCUCUAGGGGAAGCUAUUCCCCAACAACCUACUUAACCUCGGGUAUUUUCAGCUCAGAACCGCCGCCCACUCCCGUAGUGAGUCGUAGUAACUCUUUUACUACUCGAGAGCCCAGCAGUUUUCUUUACUAUGACGUUUACGGUAUAGACCUCUCCAACGCUGUGGCGAACGCAGUUAACUUCUUCUGUCCCGCCAUCUUCUUUGAGUACUUCCCUUAAGUCGUCUCCUCAGUAUACUACGUCUCUUCCACCUAGCCAGUGUCCUGCCCCGUGGACCACUAAGUUGCUCACAAUGUAACCUCCCUCUGUUACCUCCCAGAAUAAAAGGAACCUCCCUCCUUGACCUCUCGAACCAAGCACCUCCACACGGUUAGCGAGAAUCUCCUCUCUACACCGUUCGUAAACACCCACAACCACGAGCCUUUUAGUGACCCAUAAUGUUGUUUAACGAUCUACUUUCCUGGCUACAUAACCUACUUUUCCUGGAAUUCCUGGUUCACCACUUACUUGUCUUUUCAAGUGGUUUUUUCCUAGGGUUCGGACUCUUCACCUUUCCUGUCUAUCUCUUCCUAAACGGAGCUUGUAAAGGUCCUGUGGGACGUAAUCUACUCCUGCCCUCUUUACGGAACUCCGCCAAUAAUUGUCGUAUGCGUUCCGUAUUAGGUAGACAACCUAUGACGGUCCGGUACUUGAAAAAACGGCCCGAUAAAAAUAACAAGUACGGACUUCUCUUACGUAAGACCCGAGACCACCCCCAGUAACUGCUCAUGAAACUCCCAAUGAUGUGACUCCUUUACUAACUUAGUGUCCAACUGGUUGAACAAGAACUCCUGCAACAUGCUCUUUCCAAGGGUUUUAACCGGUUUGUAUGCCUAUAGAACCCUCAAGUCCACUGUACCCACUGACCUGGUACCAAAGAAAGUUAAAAGUAGUUGUACGAAGGUACCCUUUCACAAGAAGCACAAACCCUACACUAGGAGAAACUUCCUUUAGCAUGUUACAACAAGGCCUGUUGGGAACGAAACGACCUGAAUAUACCCGGACGGAACCACUGGUGUUUCCUACGACCUCUACGUUAAUGCAAUGACGUCAGAGAACGACCGAGAUGGAAACUGUCGUCGGUUGAACAUAACUGUCGAACAUACCCAAAAGUCAGUCAGUUUCUUUACCCUAACGCUCUCGAUUCUCUUUUCGUGUCCGGUCUCUAAUAUCGCCGAUACCUCCUUUCUAGUUUUCUGGCAUUUAGGACCUUUCUAUUCUUCCCCAAUCGUUGAUUUAAUAUAUCGAAAUUUGUACUGGGGAGUAGACACACGGGUGUUCAACUAAGGUUCCUUCCCCGUCUACCAAACGUUCACUUACCCCUGAGACCCAGUUGUUUGGACCCCUCGAUGGAAUGACCAAAUCGUAAUCUUUUACUCAACCUACUCCCGUAACUAGAAGUUCUAGUCCAUUGUACCGAUUUCCAACUCGACACGUUUGACGAACUCCUCUUUUCUAGUCGACUUGAGUCCCGGCUCCUCAAUCUUUGACGAAAUUACCUCUACCAGUGCGUUCUGUUAUCUGCAUGCGACUCACGAUGCCAACUCUUUAACCUCCGUCUCCAUAGACUUAAGGCUUUUAGAAAGCUUCUAUUCGUUCUUGUUCUUUUCCGUUACGAACUCUAAAACAAUUCUUACCUCGUCCUCGUCUUUCACUGUCUUCUACGGGCGUAUCGACGACUCGCUCUACGACGACUUGUUUUUAUACGACGAGUAAACUAGGUCCUCUUCAUACUUCGUCAGAACUAUCGUGAAAGUGUUUACCUCUUCUCUCGACACUACCGUCUUUGAUACAACCUUCGAUGUUUCGUCAUGGUCCGACCCGUCCAAUUUCGGUAGGUUUGCAAGCGGGGUUUCAGUGGCGUACGUCUGGAACCCUUCUAUUUAGUUCUUGGUUUAGUUCUAUGUGGAUUGUUCUUUAACCCGUAUGAAAGAUCCCCCGAACCUACCGAUCUCUUCUCGUUCGUCCCUUUCAGCUUAGGGCGACUUUGCUUACUUCCGAUUUGAGGACACCUUAGUCCAUCUUUUAGCAGCCACGGUCGUUCCUAGAACUAUAGGUACUCACUAACCCAACGGUCUAGCGGUCUUCUUAGGAAGCUUUGGUCGAUUAAAAACAGCCGUCCUUCUUAGUUCAAUACAAAGAGUACUUCAAAACGACUUUAACAUGAAACAUGGUAUAACCCAAGUUACCAGUCUACCUCAAUACAACCAUCCAGGUUUAGAAACGUUCCGUAGGAACAUUUAAAAGAAGAGGCUAAUCAAAGUAAUUCUAACAGUUAUAAAUCACAAUGCCAAUCCUCUUUCUUUUUUAUGUGUGCUUUGGGGGACACAACAAUCCAAUCAAAAACUCCUACAGUAUCCCAAUAUGACCCCUUCUCGUACAAAACAAAGAGAACACCUUUCUCAAAACGUUUUCGUGACAUUUCCUUUACUACAAGGUCACAGAAUAAACAAGAAAACUAUGGCAACCGAACGUUGUAUAAGAACCGUAUACAACGAAUCACAUUUUAUGUUUCAUAGACAACUAAUAACGGUCCUUACUAGUAAGUUAUAUACCGUAGAUAUAAACACAAGCAAA